Molecule: long non-coding RNA, 2182 nt
Organism: Enhydra lutris kenyoni (northern sea otter)
Lineage: Eukaryota; Metazoa; Chordata; Mammalia; Carnivora; Mustelidae
Exons: 2
Source: RefSeq, a predicted model, not a curated record
GGCGGCCCGGGCUUCCGGGCCCUAGACCUCCGCGGGGGGGUGCCGGCCACCCGGCCGCCCAGCCACCCGGCCGGGCCCCGGCCACGACCGGCCGCCCGCCCGCGGCGUGGCCGGUGACCUAUUGCACAGAAACUCUGCCAACGGGCCCUUACUGUCGGGCUCGAGGGGAAAAAACCAAACAAACCAAAAAACGAUUUGAGGGCGGCCGACCUGUUGCCUCCCGUUGGCCAGAGCCGGGGAAGCCGCAAGGAAAAAUUCUGCAGCAGGGACUUAACUGGCCCCGAUCCACAAGGAACCAGUGUUCGUAGGUGGUGACCCACCUCUUCCGUGGCCUUGUCGAGAGACUGCAAUCCCUGCCCAGGGGCGGCCCCUGGGCCCAGUGCUGCCUGGGGAGCUGCUGGGCAAAGGGCCUAGCCCGGGAGGAGAGAAAGGACCUUCCAGGCAGAGGCACCGGGUGCUGGGGUAGCGGGUGGUCCCGUUCUGGCAUGGGGAAGGACGUGACCCUGUCACCUCAGCACUGCAUCUCCUAGCGACACUUUGAGGGCGUUCUGUGCUCCCCACCUGAUGAUUGGAAGAGCUGGCUCUGGGACUGGGAGAGAUGUGUCCUUGUCCUACAGAUACGAAGGAGUGGGGCUGAAUCUGUGCCCUGUCUUUGAGAAAACUUGGCUCUGUGGGGGAGGGGAGCUCAAGGCCCCCCAGGGGACCUAGGGGGAGAGAACGAGGUCCAGGGUAGGGAAUGUGGGGAACUGGCUCUUCUUGGGGUGGUGUGGGAGGCCACAGGGAAGACUGUCGGAGCUGAGAUGGACACAGGAGAGAGUCCUAGAAUGCCUCGCAGAGUAGAAGGCUUUACCCACAGAGCCUGGCCUCCCCUGCCCCCCCACCCCAGGCUGGACCAAGAGCUCCUUGGCAGCUGAGUGGCACGGGCCUCUCGGUUUGGGUGGCGGGUGGGGCUGGGGUGGUGGCGAGGCCCCUGGGCACAGGCUGGAACCAGGAGGGUGAAGGGAUAAACCUGGGAUGGGUCCCCAGGCUCGUCACCCCCAAGUCCGGGAUCCUGCCGGAGAACGUCCUCUGGAGGGGCUUGGAUUGGCCCUGAGGCCCCAGAUGUGCGGCUCCUUGGCCCACCAGGAUGGCCAGCCACGACCCCGAGGGGGCCGGGAAAGACCCCGGUCCCCCAGCCACUCUGUUCUCGGUUGCUCUCGGCCCCCAGGCUCCAAAUUCCUGGGACUGAAAACCCAAGCAGCCUGUCCAGCCCCAGGGACAGAGUGGCCCUGGGUCACCCUCCCGCCCUCCUUAGUCGCCGCUCUAGAGGACGGGUCCUGAGUGAAGAGCUCUGCCCGCCUCACCCCGGGGACCGAGGCCCGAUGAGGCCUCCAUGUGUGCCCUGCAGCUUCCCACAGACAGGGUGUGAUGGCUCUCACCUCGUGCCAAGGGUUCUGUGGUCCUGGGUCCCGGUGGCUCCUCCUGUACCCCAAUCCUCUCCACCCAGGACCACGUCUGGGAGCCUGCCGGCCUGCUGACUCCAUCCACAGAUGUCUGGGGACAGCGUGCGAGAGCCCCGCGGGGCCUCCCUAGGACGGAUCCACAGAUGUGCCCCUUGCAAGGCCCCGUCUCACCCUCGGGGUGACCCGCUCCCCGGCCGGGGCCUUGGGGCUCAGCUGGAGCUGCCUGGGGCCUGGGACACCUCUUCUCCACGGAGAGAGUGGGAAGCCUCAGGGCCCUGGCCCGAGACCCCUCCCCUGCGGGACACCCCAGCCCAUGCCAGCCUGCCCCGGGGGCCCAGGAAGUCUCGGCACGACUCCCGAGGGACUGGGCAGGGGCUGCACUUCUUUGGCCUGUGGUCCUGCCCUUGCCCUUCGGACAGGAUUGGCCUUGAGUAGGGUUUGGCCUUGAGUAGUUAUUGAGCUGCCCACCCUCGCCCCCGCCCGCACUGGGCCCUGGCUGCCUGACAGGCUCUCCACGCACUUUAUUUAUUUGCAGUCUGUGUUCCAGACAGCAGAGCUUCUGCAUAAUCCAAGACAUGGGCUGAAGAAGAUGACCGUCCCUUUCCUGUGUGUGAUUCACUGUCCUGGUCAGCACGGGCUGCUCAGAGAAACGCUCGCGUUCCUGCUGUUGUCAAAUCUUGUCCCUCUAAGUUAAAAAGAAACACCCCUCCCUGAGUUCAAUAAAAUCCAGUCAAAUUGGA